This 460-nucleotide ribosomal RNA is filed under the name uncultured bacterium. RNAcentral describes it as "partial 16S ribosomal RNA". It matches the Rfam family "Bacterial small subunit ribosomal RNA", at positions 338 to 795 of the family's 1533-position model. The record is from RNAcentral.
CCUACGGGUGGCAGCAGUGAGGAAUAUUGGUCAAUGGACGAGAGUCUGAACCAGCCAAGUAGCGUGAAGGAUGACUGCCCUAUGGGUUGUAAACUUCUUUUAUAUGGGAAUAAAAUGUUCCACGUGUGGGAUUUUGUAUGUACCAUAUGAAUAAGGUCCGGCUAACUCCGUGCCAGCAGCCGCGGGAAUACGGAGGAUCCGAGCGUUUUCCGGAUUUAUUGGGUUUAAAGGGAGCGUAGGUGGGUUGUUAAUUCAGUUGUGAAAGUUUGCGGCUCAACCGUAAAAUUGCAGUUGAAACUGGCAGUCUUGAGUACAGUAGAGGUGUGCGGAAUGCGUGGUGUAGCGGUGAAAUGCUUAGAUAUCACGAAGAACUCCGAUUGCGAAGGCAGUUCACUGGACUGCAACUGACACUGAGGCUCGAAAGUGUGGGUAUCAAACAGGAUUAGAUACCCGUGUAGUC